This 2058-nucleotide ribosomal RNA is filed under the name Triticum aestivum (bread wheat). RNAcentral's name for it is "partial small subunit ribosomal RNA". Lineage: Eukaryota; Viridiplantae; Streptophyta; Magnoliopsida; Poales; Poaceae. The record is from RNAcentral.
AUGUCGCACUCGGUUGAGAUGGAGGAGGCCGAGGUGGUUCUCACCCGCGCGAUGGUGGCCUCCAUUACUGGCAAUAGGCCACCCGUGUCCGCUGCCGAGGUCGCCGACGUGCUCAUCUCCUCCCUCGAGCUCGUCGACGGUGACUUCACAGUUCACGUCCAUCACCCCGAAGAUUUUCUGAUCCUCUUCAACUCGCGCUCGACCAUGGAUCGCCUCAACGGUGAUCACUUCAUCCGCUCCCCGCGGUUCUCCCUCUCCGUGCGACCCUGGAGCAAGCUAGCUCAUGCGGGCUCCGGCCAGUUCGAGCACCGCGUCGAGCUUGAGCUCCGGGGCAUCCCCGCUCAGGCAUGGCACCUCUCGACGGCUGAGCAUAUUCUUGGGGAGAGCUACUGGAUUGAGAGACUCCACCCCGGCACGCGUUCUAGGGCUGAUUUGGCCGUCUUCCGGCUGGCGGGGCGCACGCAUGAUCCUGCCAACAUCCGCCGCGCCGCCAUCCUGGAAAUCGUGGAACAGAUCCCCGCGCGCGUGGGCUCGGAGGCGCCUGCCAUCCGGACCCUCACCUACCCGAUUUCCAUCGCGCUGGCCCGUGCGGAGAGGAUCGGCGCCCCAGCUCCCCGUGCUGGCGCUGGCGACGGACCGGCCGGCGGUGGCGCCGGUGAUGGCGACGGCCCUGCUCGUGGCAGGGGCCCUGGCCGUGCGCGUCGCCGCGGCCGCAAGCGUCGAUGCUCGGAGGCGCCGCCGGCCGGCCGGGCUGAUGGCAUGGCCGUCGACUCCCUGGGGUGGCGGGUUGGGAACUGCGCUGCGCGCACCGACGGUUUGUCCGUCGCGUCUGCAUGGCCCGCGCCGCCCUCCGCGGUUGCGCCGCCGUCCGUACACCGUCGCGGCUGCGCCAUAGAGUCCUUGCCUGGGCAGCGUGGUCAGCUGGAGCAGCAGCGCGAUCAGCAUGGCCCCACCAACAUGCGUGGCCGCGCCAGAAAAGGGAGGCGCAAAAGAAAGCCAAAGCAAGCUUUGGCGGUGGCCCAGGCGGGCAGGGCCUCUGUUGCUGUAGGAGAUGACGGAGAUGCGCGAAGGACGCCUGUCGGUGGCCCCCCGCCUGGCCCCUCGGCUGCUCCAAUCCCCAGCGUGGAGCCAGGCCACGGACCAAGUGGCACGCCCCCAUUCGCGGAGAACACUCCGGAAGGAUCCCGAGAUUUGAAUCUCACACCAUCGGAUGCCCCCGAGGAGGAUUGUAUGGGCCCUGGUUCUGAUGCUCCUGAUCCGAGGAAUUGUCGGGAUUUGCCCGAUAUGCGCGUGGGACCAGCCUCACAGCCUGUGCCGGCCUGCUUGUCGGGGCAAAGCGGCGUCUCGCCUGCACCCCCACCCGACGACGGCCCUGUCCCCGCUGACCGGUCCUCCGGGCCCCAUGCGCGCGUCGUGGGUGGAGGAGAGGAGCGCCCCACCUCGUCCCCCCAGGCCAAGGUCUCUCUACCGCCCCAGGCCCAGCCCAUUGAGGACACUGGGCUCUCGCCCCAGGUGACUAUUCUGCAGAGGCCACAAAGCCCGAUCACCGCAACGGGACUCAACUUGGAGGCCCACACACCUGCGAGGGCCCAACUGGGGACGAAUCUGCCUGCUGCCGAGCGCUUCGCAUCCCCGCCGAUCACCAUGCGCCGUUCCCGCGCCCGUCCCGCUGCGCCAAGCUCCCUAACGUUGGGGGAAUUUCUGGCCGCCGCCACCAAGCACAUCGAUGCGGCCCUGCCGACGCCUGGGAGGAGGCCGCGCAGGCCCCUGAACUUCUCCCCCCGUCGCGGCCGCUCGGCUGCCACUGCCCGCCCGGCGGCGGCGCCACCCACCGCCGAGAGACGUGCGCAGGUCCAAAUCCUGCGCACCCUGGGGAUCCUUGGGACAAAUCAGAAGAUAACCCCCGCCGAGAUGAAGGCCUACGAUGGCAUGUUUGCGAUGCCCAUCCCGCUCCAGGUGCUCAAGGCCAUGGCCGCGUUGGUCGACCGCGAGAUCCCAGCAUGCCUAUCCUGCCCGCCGAUCGUGCCAGCACAUGUCGAGGUCGCCUGCACAUCCUAG